CCUACGGGUGGCAGCAGUCGAGAAUCUUUCACAAUGGGGGAAACCCUGAUGGUGCGACGCCGCGUGGGGGAAUGAAGGCCUACGGAUUGUAAACCUCUUUUAUCUGGGAGCAAAUUAAAAAGCUAGUACCACAAGAGGAAGUGACGGCUAACACUGGGUCAGCUGCCGCGGUAACACAGAGGUCUCAGGCGGUGUUCGGAAUCGCUGGGUGUAAAUUGUUCGGAGGCUGUUUCGUAAGUAGUGUGUGAAAGGGGCGGGCUUAACCCGCGGACGGCACAUGAUACUGGGAGACUAGAGUAAUGGAGGAGGAACCGGAAUGCUUGGUGUAGCAGUGAAAUGCGUAGAUAUCGAGAAGAACACUGAUGGCGAAGGCGGGUUCCUGGACAUUAACUGACGCUGAGGCACGAAGGCGAGGGGAGCGAAAAGGAUUAGAUACCCGGGUAGUC
This 446-nucleotide ribosomal RNA is filed under the name uncultured bacterium. RNAcentral describes it as "partial 16S ribosomal RNA". It matches the Rfam family "Bacterial small subunit ribosomal RNA", at positions 338 to 795 of the family's 1533-position model. The record is from RNAcentral.